Molecule: ribosomal RNA, 216 nt
Filed under: Glomeromycotina sp.
Lineage: Eukaryota; Fungi; Glomeromycota
Description: partial small subunit ribosomal RNA
Rfam family: Eukaryotic small subunit ribosomal RNA (bases 40-216)
Source: RNAcentral
GGCUCAGUAGGUUGGUCGUGCCACCGGUACGUACUGGUCUCACUGAUUCCUCCUUCCUGUAGAACCGUAAUGCCAUUAAUUUGGUGUUGCGGGGAAACAGGACUGUUACUUUGAAAAAAUUAGAGUGUUUAACGCAAGCUAACGCUUGAAUACAUUAGCAUGGAAUAAUGAAAUAGGACGAUCGAUCCUAUUUUGUUGGUUUCUAGGAUUGACGUA